Oncorhynchus keta (chum salmon) is the source of this 793-nucleotide long non-coding RNA. RefSeq lists it as uncharacterized. The transcript has 5 exons. The record is from RefSeq and is a predicted model, not a curated record. NCBI's taxonomy places the organism in Eukaryota, Metazoa, Chordata, Actinopteri, Salmoniformes, Salmonidae.
CGGACCUGGUAAAUGUAUCAUAGUGUAUGUAGAGCAAGUCAAUCAGCUAUAGGCUGUAUAUGUUUCCAAUAUGAAGCAACGAUGCAGCUGGACGGACCUGGUAAAUGUAUCAUAGUGUAUGUAGAGCAAGUCAAUCAGCUAUAGGCUGUAUAUGUUUCCAAUAUGAAGCAACGAUGCAGCUGGACGGACCUGGUAAAUGUAUCAUAGUGUAUGUAGAGCAAGUCAAUCAGCUAUAGGCUGUAUAUGUUUCCAAUAUGAAGCAACGAUGCAGCUGGACGGACCUGGUAAAUGUAUCAUAGUGUAUGUAGAGCAAGUCAAUCAGCUAUAGGCUGUAUAUGUUUCCAAUAUGAAGCAACGAUGCAGCUGGACGGACCUGGUAAAUGUAUCAUAGUGUAUGUAGAGCAAGUCAAUCAGCUAUAGGCUGUAUAUGUUUCCAAUAUGAAGCAACGAUGCAGCUGGACGGACCUGGUAAAUGUAUCAUAGUGUAUGUAGAGCAAGUCAAUCAGCUAUAGGCUGUAUAUGUUUCCAAUAUGAAGCAACGAUGCAGCUGGACGGACCUGGUAAAUGUAUCAUAGUGUAUGUAGAGCAAGUCAAUCAGCUAUAGGCUGUAUAUGUUUCCAAUAUGAAGCAACGAUGCAGCUGGACGGACCUGGUAAAUGUAUCAUAGUGUAUGUAGAGCAAGUCAAUCAGCUAUAGGCUGUAUAUGUUUCCAAUAUGAAGCAACGAUGCAGCUGGACGGACCUGGUAAAUGUAUCAUAGUGUAUGUAGAGCAAGUCAAUCAGCUAUAGGCUGU